UUCAAUUGCUUAAAAAAAAAUUAAAUAUUCUUCCAUACAAUCCCAAUCCCCAACAUCAAUCAUGUGCCUUCAACUCCUCUGCAUCCGUGAGCUCCUUCUAAUCCUAAUCACUUCUUCAAUUAAAAAUAAAAUUGAAUUACCAAGCUGUGGCAUUGCAUUAUCUAGACUGUGUGCACAAGAAAUGAAACAACCCUCUUUUUCCAAGCCACUAACACGUCCCAUCAUCUUGCUUAAAACACUGCAGACCUACUCUCCAUUCAUCAAGAAAAAAAAAAUAAAAACAAGCCAUUUUUCAUAAAACACCGUACACACCCCUUUUCCUCAAAAGCUUUAAUCCUUUUAAAACGAGAGCUGCAGCGUACAAAAAUCUCCUCCAAAAGAUGUUUCAGCACCUAGACAACACAUUUCCCAUUCUUCAUUCAAUAAAAAAAAAACAAUGCAUGGUUGCCCAC
This 452-nucleotide long non-coding RNA is filed under the name Vigna radiata. RNAcentral's name for it is "long non-coding RNA (VRAD_LNC017655)". The record is from RNAcentral. Lineage: Eukaryota; Viridiplantae; Streptophyta; Magnoliopsida; Fabales; Fabaceae.